CUUCACAGACAGUGAAAUUGACCAAUGAAGGCACAGAUGUAGGCGGGGCUGGGGAGAUAUUACAGACGGAAGGCCCUGCAGAAAUGAAGCCUGAUAAGGAUCUACUGGCUGUAACUGUACCUCAGGAACUCUGAACUUUGGCUGCACAUUUCAUCCCACUCCCACAGGGAGAGGAGAAAGAAGAGAGAUUGUCGUAGUUACUUCACUAUGGUACCCAAGUGAGGGUGAAGAGUAGAAUGUAAAAGGCUGCGUCCACAGAAGCAGCAGACUUGCCCCUAAGGAAUCAAUGGCAGAGGGUUGCUUUCAGCCAGCCGGUUCCACGGAUCGAUACACUGUAGGAAACAGGACCCAAUGGAUCAGAAACAAUAAACUUACAUUUUCAUUCA
This is a long non-coding RNA of Xenopus tropicalis (tropical clawed frog), 386 nucleotides long. RefSeq lists it as uncharacterized. The record is from RefSeq and is a predicted model, not a curated record. The transcript has 4 exons. NCBI's taxonomy places the organism in Eukaryota, Metazoa, Chordata, Amphibia, Anura, Pipidae.